RNAcentral lists this ribosomal RNA (1527 nucleotides) under Shigella flexneri K-404. RNAcentral's name for it is "bacterial SSU rRNA". It matches the Rfam family "Bacterial small subunit ribosomal RNA". Lineage: Bacteria; Pseudomonadati; Pseudomonadota; Gammaproteobacteria; Enterobacterales; Enterobacteriaceae. The record is from RNAcentral.
GAGUUUGAUCAUGGCUCAGAUUGAACGCUGGCGGCAGGCCUAACACAUGCAAGUCGAACGGUAACAGGAAGCAGCUUGCUGUUUCGCUGACGAGUGGCGGACGGGUGAGUAAUGUCUGGGAAACUGCCUGAUGGAGGGGGAUAACUACUGGAAACGGUAGCUAAUACCGCAUAACGUCGCAAGACCAAAGAGGGGGACCUUCGGGCCUCUUGCCAUCGGAUGUGCCCAGAUGGGAUUAGCUAGUAGGUGGGGUAACGGCUCACCUAGGCGACGAUCCCUAGCUGGUCUGAGAGGAUGACCAGCCACACUGGAACUGAGACACGGUCCAGACUCCUACGGGAGGCAGCAGUGGGGAAUAUUGCACAAUGGGCGCAAGCCUGAUGCAGCCAUGCCGCGUGUAUGAAGAAGGCCUUCGGGUUGUAAAGUACUUUCAGCGGGGAGGAAGGGAGUAAAGUUAAUACCUUUGCUCAUUGACGUUACCCGCAGAAGAAGCACCGGCUAACUCCGUGCCAGCAGCCGCGGUAAUACGGAGGGUGCAAGCGUUAAUCGGAAUUACUGGGCGUAAAGCGCACGCAGGCGGUUUGUUAAGUCAGAUGUGAAAUCCCCGGGCUCAACCUGGGAACUGCAUCUGAUACUGGCAAGCUUGAGUCUCGUAGAGGGGGUAGAAUUCCAGGUGUAGCGGUGAAAUGCGUAGAGAUCUGGAGGAAUACCGGUGGCGAAGGCGGCCCCCUGGACGAAGACUGACGCUCAGGUGCGAAAGCGUGGGGAGCAAACAGGAUUAGAUACCCUAGUAGUCCACGCCGUAAGCGAUGUCGACUUGGAGGUUGUGCCCUUGAGGCGUGGCUUCCGGAGCUAACGCGUUAAGUCGACCGCCUGGGGAGUACGGCCGCAAGGUUAAAACUCAAAUGAAUUGACGGGGGCCCGCACAAGCGGUGGAGCAUGUGGUUUAAUUCGAUGCAACGCGAAGAACCUUACCUGGUCUUGACAUCCACGGAAGUUUUCAGAGAUGAGAAUGUGCCUUCGGGAACCGUGAGACAGGUGCUGCAUGGCUGUCGUCAGCUCGUGUUGUGAAAUGUUGGGUUAAGUCCCGCAACGAGCGCAACCCUUAUCCUUUGUUGCCAGCGGUCCGGCCGGGAACUCAAAGGAGACUGCCAGUGAUAAACUGGAGGAAGGUGGGGAUGACGUCAAGUCAUCAUGGCCCUUACGACCAGGGCUACACACGUGCUACAAUGGCGCAUACAAAGAGAAGCGACCUCGCGAGAGCAAGCGGACCUCAUAAAGUGCGUCGUAGUCCGGAUUGGAGUCUGCAACUCGACUCCAUGAAGUCGGAAUCGCUAGUAAUCGUGGAUCAGAAUGCCACGGUGAAUACGUUCCCGGGCCUUGUACACACCGCCCGUCACACCAUGGGAGUGGGUUGCAAAAGAAGUAGGUAGCUUAACCUUCGGGAGGGCGCUUACCACUUUGUGAUUCAUGACUGGGGUGAAGUCGUAACAAGGUAACCGUAGGGGAACCUGCGGUUGGAUCACC